UGCGUAGACGGGAAAUUAAGUUAGUUGUGAAAUCCCUCGGCUUAACUGAGGAACUGCAACUAAAACUGGUUUUCUUGAGUGUUGGAGAGGAAAGUGGAAUUCCUAGUGUAGCGGUGAAAUGCGUAGAUAUUAGGAGGAACACCAGUGGCGAAGGCGAUUUUCUGGACAAUAACUGACGUUGAGGCACGAAAGUGUGGGGAGCAAACA
RNAcentral lists this ribosomal RNA (207 nucleotides) under uncultured bacterium. RNAcentral's name for it is "partial 16S ribosomal RNA". It matches the Rfam family "Bacterial small subunit ribosomal RNA", at positions 568 to 774 of the family's 1533-position model. The record is from RNAcentral.